CAGCCCCAGUGUUGCGGGGGUGGGUGCCAUCCAGGAAGGGCCAGUCUGCCCUCCAGGGCUGCCCCAGACAAGCUGAGCCCCUAUGCCCUGCCCACUCUGCCAGGGCUGGUCCAGCUCCAGAUGUGAAAAGAUGCAGGGAAGGCGAGCUCUCCGAAACCCGGACCACACCCUGGCCUUUCCUCCGUGUGCCUCCUGGGGCCAAGUCAGACAGAGAUGCCCUGCGGGCUGAGGAGGAGGCCCCACUGUGGGUCAAGGAAGGCUCUGGCCAUGAAGAGGCCACCUCCUCCCCUCUCAAAAGGAAGCAGGGACUUCCAGCAGCUCCUGGUGAGAGGUAGGGAGGGGUGAGGGCGGGGGAGCCCCUCCCCUGCAGGCUGUGUGGAGGGGUGGGCCCUGGGCCACGCCCAGCUGCAGCACAACCACCCAGGAGGCAGGAACCGGGGCUCCCCCGAGCACCCUUCACCUGCUCCUGCCCUUGUGCCAAGCUCGAGCCAACAGCCACUGAGGACAGAAUUGGUGGGCGAGGGGCCGUCUGGCUUCCCUGCCUCGGCCCCUCCCAGCGUCAUGCUGUGAAGGCCAAGGGGACGGGUGUGGGGGUUGCCACCUCGCCCAGCAGCGCCUUUGCCCCCACCCUGGGGUCUGAGCCUUGUGGGGAGGAGCCCUGGGACUCAGGGGCUGGUUGGAGCCGGUACCCCCAGCGUGGCUCAGACCCAACACUUCCCUUGGAGGUUCUUGUUCUGUCCAUCUCCGCUCACCAGAGCUGUUCCAGACCCCACGGGCUCGGUUCUCCAGCUUCCUGACGAUCCAGGAGCCCCAGGAUCCUUCCAGUCACUUCUCACUGGUUUCGGUGGCUCAGGGCCGCUGACCGUCUCCCCCAGGCCCAGCCGUCAGGUUCGUGGCACUGCUCUCUGCCCCCAGACCUCUGCCCUCGGGGGAGAAGCAGUCUCCGGGUCUCCGUGCCUCCACCCUGCUGACCACAGAGGGAGCCCGAACUGUGCUGACGAUGUCAAGGGCCCCCUGGCCCCCUGCCUAGUCAGCCUCCACCCCAGGGAGCCCCUGCAGGAGCUGGGAGGGCGGAGGCCAGAUCCUCCCUAUGGUCACCGGGGGCCUCGCCUACACAGUUCACCUCGACCUUCUAGAACCGGUCCUCCCCUCCACCCUUUGACCUGGGUGGGUCAGCUCUGCUGCUCCCAGCUCUAGGUUCCUGCACGGGCUCUCAGGGUCCCCUGCACCCCACCCACGUGCGCAUAGUUUCUGUGUAAACACACGACCCACUUUCUCCUCAUCUGUGGGUGCCCUCUGUGUCCCUCCAGGAAAUGGGUCGGGGCUGGGCAUCUCUGCCUGGGGCUUCAGGAGGGGCCCCUGCCCCCACCCUCACCUGGAAUCCAAACCAGGCAGCUGCCUCCAAUGUCCUGUCCCUCAGGUACCUUCAGCACCCCGAUCACAGGCUGCAGGCCGCCGUGACCCUGCCCCAGCUUCAGUGUGCAGGGCGGUCAGGACGUGGGCUCUGCGGGCCUGGGUCGUCCCAGCCCCCACUGUUCAGCAGCCAGGCCCCCGUGCCUCCUCCUCUUGCCAAACCUGGUGACGCGUCAGGCACCUGGUGGCAGGCCCCGGAGCUCGCACCCGUGAGAGCGCCUGUGGGGCCAGGUGGCGACCUCAACCACCAGGUUGCCUCAAGCCAGACUCUGGCCCACUGGCAGCUGCCCACCCGGGGUCUGGAGAUCCUCCCACGGGCCGGGCCUCCGGUUUUGCUGGGGCAGUCACACUAAGUAUGGGAAUGAGAAGAGAAGGAGGAAGAGGAGGGAAAGAGGGAGGGAAGAGGGGAGGGGGCAGCGGAGAAGGGAGGAGGAGGAGGGGAGGGGAGGAGGGAGCAGGAGAGGGGAGGGAAGAGGGGAGGGGGAGAGAAAUGGGGAAAAGGAGAGGACGAGGGGAGAGGGGGGAGGAGAGGGAUGUGAGGAGGGGAGGAAGCAGAGGGGAGGAGGAAGGGGAUGGUGUCCUCCAGGCCAGAAGAGGGCACAGCCAGGCAGGAGAGGCGCUGACCCCACCUCGUUAGUGAGAGGCCACUGUGGGGUACCCGACCUGGAACCAGGGAGCAGCACGUGCAGAGAAACGGGGUGGCCUGCUCUCUGGACCCUUGUGUCUCUCCUCCGUCUCUUCCCCUCCAGGGCCCCGGGCCAGGAGGGAGGCCCCUGUCCAGGUAAGAGGGGCUCGCGCAGACAUGUCAGCACACACACACACGUGCACAGGCACACGCACACACUCUAAGGAGUGGGCAUGUGGGAGGCAGGGGGUAGGAAGAGCAGAAGCCCAUCCUGGCAAAGGGAGUGUGGACGGCACAGGAUGGCCUCCUCGGGGUGCCGGGGAGGGGGCGGGGACACCAGCCUGCAGCCCACCCUCCCCUGUUGUGUGCGCAAGCGAAGGUAGUGGGUCUGGGGGUGAGGACAGGGUUACCAUCCUCCGAGUCAGCCCUGCCUCUCCCGGCCCACAGAGGAGCCACGCAAUACAGUGUCAAUCGGGGGGAAACCACGAGUUACAGGCCCCAUGGGCAAAGACCCACACCACCCCUCCUACAGGAAAUCCAGGCCCCUGCAACUCAGCCUGUGAAAAGUCUCCAUCACCCUGAACCCUUGCUUUUCUCCAGUGGGCUUUGGUUCAGGACCCCUCCCAUUUCCUUCUUCUCCAUAAAAUAAUGUUUCUCUCCUUUGUUGGACUUGUCUGUGGUUUUGCCGUUAGCUUGCAUAUCCCAAAUUGCAAUUCUGUGCUAUUCCCCAAUCAACCCAUAUCUGCUGGUAAAAUAACUUUCAUUCUUAAGGUCAACAUGACCAUUUAGUAAAGGGCCGGAGCCUCAAAGGAGGGGUCUUGCCUCACCCAGAAUGCCCAGCCUUGGCCACUGGACAGGCACUGCCCCCGAGUCAGGAAAACAGCCCAGGCCUGGCCUCAUCCUCAGGCCAGGAGGUAGCUUUGCUUCUCCACCGUGGCUGGGGCAUACAGGUAAGCUAGACCUGCCCACAUGUCACACAGGACCCAAUAGCCCAGGGAAUCUGUCCAUUCCCAGGUCCCUGUGCCAGCUGGGACUUCAACGUUCUGACCAGCGACCUAAACUGAUGGUCAAUCUCCCCCAGAAGACCUGGCCAGGACCCAGCCUCACUCCCCUUCUACUUCAAAGGCCACCUGAGUCCCAUCGCCCAGACUAUCCACCAUCACCCCCCACCCUUUCCCACCUUCUCACAGGACCCUAGCCACCCCCCCCCGC
RNAcentral lists this long non-coding RNA (3250 nucleotides) under Lynx pardinus (Iberian lynx). The record is from RNAcentral. Lineage: Eukaryota; Metazoa; Chordata; Mammalia; Carnivora; Felidae.